Long non-coding RNA from Anguilla anguilla (European eel), 2877 nucleotides. RefSeq lists it as uncharacterized. Lineage: Eukaryota; Metazoa; Chordata; Actinopteri; Anguilliformes; Anguillidae. The transcript is spliced from 2 exons. The record is from RefSeq and is a predicted model, not a curated record.
GGGUGGGGGUGGCUGUACCCUCUGAGUUUAGAUGCCAAAAAGACCUUCUUUUAUCUGUGGCGCCCCAGCAGGGCGUCUUCCAUUUUAAUCUCAGUCCACCAGGCCGCUGGAAACAGUCCAGUCCAGCCCAUGUUUAUAUCCUCACGUUUGGACUACUUAGCCAGGAUAGCAAGUCAUAUUCCACCUCUGUCUGUGGGCCUCUCUGCUUUUCCCAUCUGAAUAAAGUGAAAAUAAAAUCUUACAGAGGGAAAAUCUUACUGCUGUCCUUGGAAAAAACGAAAAAAAAAUGGAAAGUCAUAACCCCAUUAAAGAGCGGAAAGUCAUAACCCCAUUAUUUCUCAGUCUGAAACACGGGGGUUAUUGGAGGUCAGUAUCCCAAGGGCCCCUCUGGCAACCCAACAGGCCCUUUUCCCAACAUACAGCUCCAUUAGAUCUCCAUUUGGGUCAGCCUGGCUCCCGCUCCACAGCCCAAAAGAUACCAUUUCUGUGAGGUGGUGAUCCACUCCUCAUCCGUACCCUUGGAGAGGUGGAGUUCUGAAGGGUAUGGGGUAUUUUGGGUAAAAGGGUGUGAAAGUAGGGGUGGGUGGGGUUGGCAGGUUCCCGUCCCAGAUGGGAUGCUCGCCUUGUACCCGACCCAAAAUAACAACUUUUACUACCUUAGCAAAAAUAUCCAGCAGCAAAAACAGACAAUUAUGCUAAUGAAAGUCACCUUGGAUAAGUCCUCCUCUUCAGGUAACAUCACCUUAACAGCACCGUAAGACCUUCUUGCCUUUCUGUGGGGAAAAGCAAUCCCUUUCCCCCCACAGUCCCAUUCCAGGCUCCUCCAGGGAACCAACCUCUCUGUUCCUACACCUCUCAUUCACAGCCAAAGGUCCCCAAUUACUCUAUUCCAGCCAUCUUAUAUUAUUCACGGUUAUACACACGGUCUAACAAACAUGCUGAAAUAAAAAUCCAGAGAGCUUUUCUCUCGUCAAGCUAAACAGACCGGUUUGGGUGGGAGCUGUAGGCUUUUUGCAUAUGCAAAAGGUAAGUUAUACUACCAGGAAUGGCAGGAGCAGUGUUCUCAUGCCCACACAACUCCUGCUCUGAAAGUGAACCUGGUGCCCAUAAAUCAUCCGGCUGGGAUUACCCCAUAGCAGCUAGACUCGGACGCCAAAGCUGAAGGGACGGUAGAGAAACAGGAAACUGCAGGUUUCCUGUAGCAUACCAGGUGACGUAGCUAGAGAGCCGUGAAGCACAUUGAGAGCUUGCGCUCAAACUCUGACUAGCUGAUUGUGUUUGUAGCGGAAAGGAUUAAAUCAAAUUAUCAAACAUGCACUCAUUGUGAUUGUGUGACUGAUCGAUUCGUCCAUAACUCUCAACAGGUGUAGCGGCACCAAUCGUUCAAGACCUGGGGAAUACUGUAUGUUGCAGGGAGCGUUUAUGUAAAUGGGAGACAGAAGAAGAUUGGCUGCUUUGAUUGAAAUCCAGAAGUGUCAGAUCGGGAGCCAAAUGUAACUUGCUUGUUUUGUCUUUUGAUAUUUUUCCACAGAGAAAAUGAGGCAAAAUCAGUUUGACAUGUUUUACAGAUUUAGUAUUUUACCAGCUUAACUGGGACAUGUUAGACAACAAAAGUGACCAAGCAGCUUUAAAUUAUAUUUUGAUGUUGUACGGCAUUUUGUCUCAUAAUAAACUCAUAUUGGACCGAGGAUUUGGAGCACAGGCCCAGGCCCAGGCCCACAUGCCAACCAACACAUUCAGUUUCCCACGACACCUGCAGGCCAGGAACGGGUAAAACUGGUGCACCCUGGAUCCCCCAGGGUUCUCAGAGCCAUCGAUCGCACGCACGGAAAUGUUGGGUGAGGUGAGGUUAUCGGGGCUGAAAUGAUGGGAGAGUCUGUCUGACACAGAGGUGAGGUUAUGGGGGCUGAAAUGAUGGGAGGUGUUCAGGUCUCUCACACAGAGGUGAGGUUAUGGGGGCUGAAAUGAUGGGAGGUGUUCAGGUCUCUCACACAGAGGUGAGGUUAUGGGGGCUGAAAUGUUGGGAGGUGUUCAGGUCUCACACAGAGGUCAGGUUAUGGGCUGAAAUGUUGGGAGGUGCUCAGGUCUCUCACACAGAGGUGAGGUUAUUGUGGCUGAAAUGUUGGGAGAGUCUGUCUGACACAGAGGUGAGGUUAUGGGGGCUGAAAUGAUGGGAGGUGUUCAGGUCUCUCACACAGAGGUCAGGUUAUGGGGCUGAAAUGUUGGGAGGGGUUCCUCUGUCUGGCUCCUCUCUCCCCCCUGCAGAACCGGGUCUCAUUAAGGCCUCCCGUUUCCAUGGUGAGCGCGUUUCCAUGGCGAGCCCGUGGACAUGCGCAAGCUUUCCCAGGGGUCUUUCACCUUGACUCGGUAUCAGGCCGGGGCCUGCGGUCGCUGUGUUUGAGCUGUUUAAUUCAGCAGCGCUCUCACUCUGAAAGGGCUUCAACUCUCAGUUCAUUUAGCAAGACAAUCUGCAUUAGUAUUUUUUAGGUCAGUUUGCUGACAUUUUGUCGUUUGUAAUUGUGUGGUUGCCGAGCUGGAGUUGGUCUCUGUCCCAGACGGGCUCCCUCUGAGCUGUGAGCUUUCCCUGAGCUGCUCUAUGCAGAGCUGGACUGUGUGGGGUUCUGUUAUAUGGGUCUGUAGUUUGGCCGUAUUUUCAUGCGUGGCAGUUGGACAGAUAGGCUAAGGCUGCAGCUGUCUCACUCCACAGUGCUGAGAAAACUCCUCAUUCACAGCGUGACUGGCCGUAGAUGCAGUUUUGAUGCUGCACAUGAAUUUUAAAAAAUAAAUUUGAUCCAUUAUGUUCAUACAGAUGUUUCUUCCUAAUUUAAUUGAAUCCCUAUUUGAAAAUAAAUAAAGCAAGUAAAUAUUUUUACUAUA